This 612-nucleotide ribosomal RNA is filed under the name uncultured bacterium. RNAcentral's name for it is "bacterial SSU rRNA". It matches the Rfam family "Bacterial small subunit ribosomal RNA", at positions 202 to 801 of the family's 1533-position model. The record is from RNAcentral.
AAAAGUUGGGGAGACCUGACGCUGAAAGAUGGACUCGCGUCCCAUUAGCUAGUUGGUAGGGUAAUGGCCUACCAAGGCGACGAUGGGUAGCCGGCCUGAGAGGGUGGCCGGCCACACUGGGACUGAGACACGGCCCAGACUCCUACGGGAGGCAGCAGUGGGGAAUUUUGCGCAAUGCUCGUAAGAGUGACGCAGCGACGCCGCGUGAAUGACGAAGGCCUUCGGGUCGUAAAGUUCUUUCGACAGGGAAGAAAAUGCCUAUAAGUAACUGUGUAUGUAUUGACGGUACCUGUAUAAGCAGCCCCGGCUAACUCCGUGCCAGCAGCCGCGGUAAUACGGAGGGGGCGAGCGUUGUUCGGAGUGACUGGGCGUAAAGAGCACGUAGGCGGUGUUGUAAGUCAUUAGUCAAAGGCUAGAGCUCAACUUUAGUAAGGCUAGUGAUACUAUAAUACUAGAGUAUCAGAGAGGAUUGCAGAAUUCCUGGUGUAGCGGUGAAAUGCGUAGAUAUCAGGAGGAAUACCGUUAGCGAAGGCGGCAAUCUGGCUGGAAACUGACGCUGAGGUGCGAAAGCGUGGGUAGCAAACAGGAUUAGAUACCCUGGUAGUCCACGCU